RNAcentral lists this ribosomal RNA (647 nucleotides) under uncultured Bacteroidales bacterium. RNAcentral's name for it is "bacterial SSU rRNA". It matches the Rfam family "Bacterial small subunit ribosomal RNA", at positions 66 to 705 of the family's 1533-position model. The record is from RNAcentral. Lineage: Bacteria; Pseudomonadati; Bacteroidota; Bacteroidia; Bacteroidales.
GCAGCAUGAACUUAGCUUGCUAAGUUUGAUGGCGACCGGCGCACGGGUGAGUAGCACGUAUCCAACCUUCCGUUUACUCAGGGAUAGCCUUUCGAAAGAAAGAUUAAUACCUGAUAGUAUGGUGAGAUUGCAUGAUAGCACCAUUAAAGAUUUAUUGGUAAACGAUGGGGAUGCGUUCCAUUAGGUAGUAGGCGGGGUAACGGCCCACCUAGCCGACGAUGGAUAGGGGUUCUGAGAGGAAGGUCCCCCACAUUGGAACUGAGACACGGUCCAAACUCCUACGGGAGGCAGCAGUGAGGAAUAUUGGUCAAUGGGCGAGAGCCUGAACCAGCCAAGUAGCGUGAAGGAUGAAGGUCCUACGGAUUGUAAACUUCUUUUAUACGGGAAUAAAGUUUCCUACGUGUAGGAUUUUGUAUGUACCGUAUGAAUAAGCAUCGGCUAACUCCGUGCCAGCAGCCGCGGUAAUACGGAGGAUGCGAGCGUUAUCCGGAUUUAUUGGGUUUAAAGGGAGCGCAGACGGGAGAUUAAGUCAGUUGUGAAAGUUUGCGGCUCAACCGUAAAAUUGCAGUUGAUACUGGUUUCCUUGAGUGCAGUUGAGGCAGGCGGAAUUCGUGGUGUAGCGGUGAAAUGCUUAGAUAUCACGAAGA